This 250-nucleotide ribosomal RNA is filed under the name uncultured bacterium. RNAcentral's name for it is "partial 16S ribosomal RNA". It matches the Rfam family "Bacterial small subunit ribosomal RNA", at positions 524 to 773 of the family's 1533-position model. The record is from RNAcentral.
UACGGAGGGGACUAGCGUUGUUCGGAAUUACUGGGCGUAAAGAGUACGUAGGCGGUAACGCAAGUUGGGUGUGAAAGCCCGGGGCUCAACCCCGGAACUGCAUUCAAAACUGUGUUGCUAGAGAUCGGAAGAGGUAAGUGGAAUUCCCAGUGUAGAGGUGAAAUUCGUAGAUAUUGGGAAGAACACCGGUGGCGAAGGCGACUUACUGGUCCGAUACUGACGCUGAGGUACGAAAGCGUGGGGAGCAAAC